This is a non-coding RNA of Arachis ipaensis, 181 nucleotides long. Lineage: Eukaryota; Viridiplantae; Streptophyta; Magnoliopsida; Fabales; Fabaceae. The record is from RefSeq and is a predicted model, not a curated record.
UGUAAUAUAUAAAGAAAAGUCUAGGGGCCAGCAAUUUUAUUGCAUUUUGGCUAGCAUGUAACCAGUAGAGAAAGGUGAGCCAUUAGAUGAAAUCUCACACCAAUCUUACACCAUCAAAUCAUCAUUGAUGACUAGUUGAUGGCUACCAAUCACAAAUGUUGCUGGCCCCCUAGCAUUGCUC